Molecule: ribosomal RNA, 1513 nt
Filed under: Enterobacter hormaechei
Lineage: Bacteria; Pseudomonadati; Pseudomonadota; Gammaproteobacteria; Enterobacterales; Enterobacteriaceae
Description: partial 23S ribosomal RNA
Rfam family: Bacterial large subunit ribosomal RNA
Source: RNAcentral
GGGUUGUGAGGUUAAGCGACUAAGCGUACACGGUGGAUGCCCUGGCAGUCAGAGGCGAUGAAGGACGUGCUAAUCUGCGAAAAGCGCCGGCGAGGUGAUAUGAACCCUUGACCCGGCGAUGUCCGAAUGGGGAAACCCAGUGUGUUCCGACACACUAUCGUUAACUGAAUACAUAGGUUAACGAGGCGAACCGGGGGAACUGAAACAUCUAAGUACCCCGAGGAAAAGAAAUCAACCGAGAUUCCCCCAGUAGCGGCGAGCGAACGGGGAGCAGCCCGGAGUCUGAAUCAGCUUGUGUGUUAGUGGAACGGUCUGGAAAGUCCGACGGUACAGGGUGAUAGUCCCGUACACGAAAACACACAUGCUGUGAACUCGAAGAGUAGGGCGGGACACGUGGUAUCCUGUCUGAAUAUGGGGGGACCAUCCUCCAAGGCUAAAUACUCCUGACUGACCGAUAGUGAACCAGUACCGUGAGGGAAAGGCGAAAAGAACCCCGGCGAGGGGAGUGAAAAAGAACCUGAAACCGUGUACGUACAAGCAGUGGGAGCACCUUCGGGUGUGACUGCGUACCUUUUGUAUAAUGGGUCAGCGACUUAUAUUCUGUAGCAAGGUUAACCGUAUAGGGGAGCCGAAGGGAAACCGAGUCUUAACUGGGCGUUAAGUUGCAGGGUAUAGACCCGAAACCCGGUGAUCUAGCCAUGGGCAGGUUGAAGGUUGGGUAACACUAACUGGAGGACCGAACCGACUAAUGUUGAAAAAUUAGCGGAUGACCUGUGGCUGGGGGUGAAAGGCCAAUCAAACCGGGAGAUAGCUGGUUCUCCCCGAAAGCUAUUUAGGUAGCGCCUCGUGAACUCAUCUUCGGGGGUAGAGCACUGUUUCGGCUAGGGGGCCAUCCCGGCUUACCAACCCGAUGCAAACUACGAAUACCGAAGAAUGUUAUCACGGGAGACACACGGCGGGUGCUAACGUCCGUCGUGAAGAGGGAAACAACCCAGACCGCCAGCUAAGGUCCCAAAGUCAUGGUUAAGUGGGAAACGAUGUGGGAAGGCACAGACAGCCAGGAUGUUGGCUUAGAAGCAGCCAUCAUUUAAAGAAAGCGUAAUAGCUCACUGGUCGAGUCGGCCUGCGCGGAAGAUGUAACGGGGCUAAACCAUGCACCGAAGCUGCGGCAGCGACGCUUAUGCGUUGUUGGGUAGGGGAGCGUUCUGUAAGCCGUUGAAGGUGUGCUGUGAGGCAUGCUGGAGGUAUCAGAAGUGCGAAUGCUGACAUAAGUAACGAUAAAGCGGGUGAAAAGCCCGCUCGCCGGAAGACCAAGGGUUCCUGUCCAACGUUAAUCGGGGCAGGGUGAGUCGACCCCUAAGGCGAGGCCGAAAGGCGUAGUCGAUGGGAAACAGGUUAAUAUUCCUGUACUUGGUGUUACUGCGAAGGGGGGACGGAGAAGGCUAUGUCAGCCGGGCGACGGUUGUCCCGGUUUAAGCAUGUAGGCGGAGGUUCCAGGUAAAUCCGGUACCUU